AGUGUGAUGAUGUGUCAUU
This 19-nucleotide small nuclear RNA is filed under the name Arabidopsis thaliana (thale cress). RNAcentral describes it as "snRNA_18967". The record is from RNAcentral. Lineage: Eukaryota; Viridiplantae; Streptophyta; Magnoliopsida; Brassicales; Brassicaceae.